RNAcentral lists this ribosomal RNA (429 nucleotides) under Chloroflexota bacterium. RNAcentral describes it as "Chloroflexi bacterium partial 16S ribosomal RNA". It matches the Rfam family "Bacterial small subunit ribosomal RNA", at positions 355 to 776 of the family's 1533-position model. The record is from RNAcentral. Lineage: Bacteria; Bacillati; Chloroflexota.
UAGGGAAUCUUCGGCAAUGGACGAAAGUCUGACCGAGCAACGCCGCGUGAGUGAAGAAGGUUUUCGGAUCGUAAAACUCUGUUGUUAGAGAAGAACAAGGACGUUAGUAACUGAACGUCCCCUGAUGGUAUCUAACCAGAAAGCCACGGCUAACUACGUGCCAGCAGCCGCGGUAAUACGUAGGUGGCAAGCGUUGUCCGGAUUUAUUGGGCGUAAAGCGAGCGCAGGCGGUUUCUUAAGUCUGAUGUGAAAGCCCCCGGCUCAACCGGGGAGGGUCAUUGGAAACUGGGAGACUUGAGUGCAGAAGGGGAGGGUGGAAUUCCAUGUGUAGCGGUGAAAUGCGUAGAUAUAUGGAGGAACACCAGUGGCGAAGGCGGCUCUCUGGUCUGUAACUGACGCUGAGGCUCGAAAGCGUGGGGAGCAAACAGG